RNAcentral lists this ribosomal RNA (370 nucleotides) under uncultured bacterium. RNAcentral describes it as "bacterial SSU rRNA". It matches the Rfam family "Bacterial small subunit ribosomal RNA", at positions 28 to 416 of the family's 1533-position model. The record is from RNAcentral.
GACGAACGCUGGCGGCAUGCCUAACACAUGCAAGUCGAACGGGAUCCUGGUUUCGGCCAGGUGAGAGUGGCGGACGGGUGAGUAACGCGUGGGAACCUGCCCAGUGGUGGGGGAUAACUGCGGGAAACUGCAGCUAAUACCGCAUGAGCCCGAAAGGGGAAAGAUUGAUCGCCAUUGGAGGGGCCCGCGUUCGAUUAGGUAGUUGGUGAGGUAACGGCUCACCAAGCCUUCGAUCGAUAGCUGGUCUGAGAGGAUGAUCAGCCACACUGGGACUGAGAUACGGCCCAGACUCCUACGGGAGGCAGCAGUGGGGAAUAUUGGACAAUGGGGCGAACCCUGAUCCAGCAAUGCCGCGUGAGUGAUGAAGGCC